Molecule: long non-coding RNA, 4440 nt
Organism: Ictalurus punctatus (channel catfish)
Lineage: Eukaryota; Metazoa; Chordata; Actinopteri; Siluriformes; Ictaluridae
Exons: 3
Source: RefSeq, a predicted model, not a curated record
AGGAAAAGAACUACAUUUCCCAUCUGCCCUGGCUGUCACAGGCUAAUAGCACCAGCUGCUUUCCAUUGCCCUAAGGAGUGAUUCUACUGCGGCAACGAGACCAAAUACAAUGAAAGUGUAUUGAGUAUUGAUGCUGCAAAAGAAGACGGAUCUUUUGGUAGGCUGGUUAAUGAUGACCACAAGCACCCAAAUGGCAGAAUGCAGAAGACUGAAGUGGACGGAAGCCCACAUCUUGGUCUGUUUGCUUUAACAGACUUUAAAGAAGGUGAUGAAAUUACCUACAAUUACGGAGGAGGAGACUGGCCUUGGUGUAGCAAGAUUUUCCAAAUGUCUAUUAAAUAUGCAGAUUAUGGAGGAGGACACUGCUGAGAGCAAUGGCCAGGAGAAACAGCAGCCAUCACAGUCUACACCGUUUCUGGAUCAUAAAUAUCAGAAUUGUGUAGUUUGCUGGCACUUUUAAUCCUGCCUUUCAAUCACACCUCUCCAUAAUUUCCAACAUAAGCAUCCCCUGGGACUCAGUAGGUUCCCUACUGCAUCUUCUCCAAGAAAACUGAGUACUCUUAGAUACUAUUUGGUACAUAUGCACAAACUGCAGUCAGAGUUUUCAUUCUUGAGACGUGAAAUGUAAGUUCCAGUCUGUAAGUUGCCAGACAAUAAUUUCUGUUGGGUGUAAGGGUGUGUGUUUGCUAUGUAACUAAUGUUUAUUCUUACAUUUAGGUAAAACAUCUACUCUGAAAAAGAGGAAGGCUCGGGAAGGAAAUGAGGUCCAUGCAGUGGAGAGACAUAUGAAGACCUUCAUGAUGUCAUGCUGUGUCCCAGGGAAGGUGGUCUGUGAAAACUGCAUUAGAUCUGAGUCUUUAUAUCUUAAAGAUAGAGACUGGCAAAGUGUCAAAUUCUAUGUCUAUAACUGCACUGUAGCUUACAAAAGAGAUAUAAACAAAGAUUAAUUACCACUUUGAUAGUAACACUUUACAUCUAUAUUACAGAUACUGUACAUCAUAACAUCUGUAGUAAUGCUUUAAUAAUAAGUUACGUUACACCUCUAGCCUUUUACUUUGUAAUGAACCGCUCAGCAUUUACUUCAUCAUAAACUAAUCAGGAACAAAUCAGGCAUUUAAAAUAUCCAUUAGGAUCUUUACCUACACCGUUAUAUUGAAUUAGAUCAAAUUGGUUUGGGCCGCCUUCUUCCAGUGGGUCCUUAUGCAGGUGACUGACAAGUUCAUGAGUAAGCCUAUUGGGCAAUAAAAGCUUCAGUGUGCUACCCAUUUACAUGUUUAGACUGCCUGGAAUCAAAAUUAGCUACCUCAACAUAUAUUAUUAAGUUGUUACUGUCACUUUUUAGCUUAGUCAGUUAAGUGGAUAUAGAAUAAAGAAAAAAAUAGUGUUUAUGACAUUUGGUUGUGUGUCUGUGUUGGGCUAGUAUCUUUAUUUUUCUCAAUAUGUUUAACUUUGAGCUGGCUAUAUGUAGUAAGCAGAAGUGUUAUGUCAAACUUAAAUGAGUCCAAGUUCAUUCAUGGCACAUGUGAGCUUAGUGGUUGUGCACUUUAAUGGGCAAAUAUUUGUUGACUUUUACAGUAAAGAAGCUCAAGACUCAAGUUGUCUUUAUAAUGUUGAAUAGACAGGGUUUUUUCAUCUGACUGACAAUUUUUCACUUGAUUAGAGAUCCAGACCAAUAAACAAAUCCUUCAUGUAGCUAAAAUAUCAAAAGGAUGCGUUUCUUUGUCAUUUUGACUUGCCAAAAUGACUGGGGAUAGUGUUAAUUUGUGAUGCAUGCCUGUGAUAAAUAAGUGAGGUUCAGUACAGCAAGCACCUCUACUUUCUAUUCCACAAAAAAAAUUGUAUACUUUGGAGCAGGAAAUGAAAAGCUUCUUAGAAUUAUAGCCUCAAAACUAAUAAUAGCACUGGUACCACCUUCCUUAAGAAGUUCCUAGGUUUCUCAAAGGGUUCCUCUGUUGGAAAUAGAAAGCUCCAAAAAAAAUGUAGUCUGUUAUCUAUUACAUGCAGAUAUUGAAAUUUCUGUAAGAGAGCUUUUUGAUAACCAAACUUACUGAUUGCAUAUUUCACAAAUAAGGCUAAGAGUCCUUAGUAUAAACAAUUAAGAACAAUUCUUCAAUAUAAUUUCAUGAGAAGCUUAAACCUUCAAAUAGAGAAAAUACACAUCAUAUCUGCUUUACAGACAGCCCUCUAAAUUAGACAUACUUAGUUUGUAAUUUUGUAUAAAUAAUUAUAGAGUUAAAUUGACAACUUUUGUUUUUAAAACCAUGUCCCAUUGUUGUUAUAUAAACUACCUGAUCUGUGUGUAUGCAAAUUAACUAUCUAGUGAUGUCCCCUCUGCAACAUGAAAACCAGCUAAUUUGCUGUGUAUGCAAAUUAGGUCCCCAUUAAUAAUGAGUUCUUGUUAUGUCCACAUUAGGUGUGAAAAAACCAAGCACAGAAAUUUUGAGAUUUAAAUCCAGAAUUUGAGAUGAUGUGUGUUCUCAGGCUUAAAUUAUACAUGCCUGAUUUUUUUCACAUCUGUAGGACGUCAGGAAAGUGGUGUCCCCACAAUACAUGGGUGGGAGUACUGACCCCGGAAUGUUAUAAUUACAAGAAUGUGUGUGUGUGAGAGAGAGAGAGAGAGAGAGUGAGUGAGAGUAUGUGUGUGUGUGUGUGUGUGUGUGUGUGUGUGUGUGUGUGUGUUAAAGGUACAGGAGCAGUCUGGCUGUGCAGCUACAGUAAAUGUUAAUAAUAAUAGGACGUUAUUUAAAAGCUCAUACAGCUGAUGUUAUUUUUAUUUAGUAGUUAAUUUAACAUGCUAUGCUAACAUGUAAACAAUAAGAUAAUAUUACCUGACGUACAUUUUACACUCAAUAUUGUCUGUUUCUAUUCUAUUUCACCAACAAAAAUAUUUCCAAACAAAGCCACAGCAGGUCCUGCUCCUUUUUCCUCCUAAUUCCCUCAUUUCUCCACCUUGGGAUUAAUAAAGUAUUAUCUUAUCUCAUCUUUUGUUCAAAUAGGAGAUUUCUUAUUUAUUUUAUUUAUUUUAUUUAUUUUGUUUAUUUUUAAAUAGGAGACUUUUUAAUACUUUUAUUAAAAAAUGGCUUCAUGUUUCUAUUAUAAUGAAGCAUUUGUUCAAACAAAAAUGUUUUCAGUCCUUUAAGGAUCAUUGUAACUGAUGAUGUUGUUGUUGUUAUUAUUAUUAUUAUUAUUAUUAUUAUUAUUAUUAUUAAUAAUAAUAAUAAUAAUAAUAAUGAUGAUGUGGUGUCAUGUCCUCUGAUUUCUGUGUGAGACAAACGCACUCAUAUUUCUGUUACAUGGGAAACUUUAGGGUUAGGGUGCAUACAUACUCUGCUUUAAAUAAACAGCAGGAGAUUGAGCACCAGUGACUUGACACCUACAGCUGACAAAGCUGCAAGCAGGGUUCAUACCUGCGCAAGAAAACCCCGCUGGAUUUAGAGUCUGACGCCUCAAAGUGAUUUAAGGAAACACUAGGCUAUUCUACUGGAGCCGACGGACGUGUUUGUCCAUGUUAGACCCUUCUCCAACAACAACUUUGCAGUCUCGUUUAUAUUCUCAGGUUUCCGCACGUGGACGCUCUCUUCAGUACAUUUACUUCAGUCAAGUAAUUAGAGCCUUUACUAGUUUACAUGAACACAUUCGGACGACUGACUUUACGUCAAAGCAUUUUCCUAGGAUAAAACACAAGCGUGUUUGAUGAAUGCCAAGGUGCUUUCUUGCUCAUCUGAAUAGAGUUCCCUCUGCAUUACGACGCAGUUUCAUAACAGGCUUCAAGUUGCGCAGGUGAAACCCCGGUGUAGUUCAAGUCCAGUGCCCUUUUGUCUCUGCAGUCGGCAAGAAAGUGCACACGAGUUAGUUGACACAGACCGCUGACAUGCCUUGAGCAGGCUUCAAGUUGCGUAGGGGAGACCCCAGUGCAUUCCAAGUCCAGUGCCAUUUUCUCUUGGCCAUCAGAGGAAGGGGGCAUGAGACAAGACUUAAGUGCAUUUCCUUGGUUCAUUUAUGUUCUGAUGGUUUAUGUUUUGAUCGUUUCAAUGUGCCAACCUUCUUUACCAGCCGUAAUCACGAUGGAGAAUGAGACAAGGCUUAAGAGUGACUCCAAGGCUCAUUGACGUUUUGAUCGCGCAUGGCUGCAAGUUUCCAAAGUGUCAUGGGUCUUUUCAAAUGGCUUCAUGUUUCAAUUAUAAUGAAGCAUUUGUUCAAACAAAAAUGUUUUCAGUCCUUUAAGGAUCAUUGUAACUGAUGUUUAUUAUUAUUAUUAUUAUUAUUAUUAUUAUUAUUAUUUUUAAUAAUAAUAAUAAUGCUAAUGCUGAUGUGGUGUCCUGUCCUCUGAUUUGUGUGUGAGAGAGAAACACACUCACAUUUCUGUUACAUGGUAAAGAGUAAGUGUAAUAUGGCUGUGUGUGUGUGUGUGUGUGUUUGAGAUCAGUGUUCUGAUAUUUC